Molecule: ribosomal RNA, 253 nt
Filed under: uncultured bacterium
Lineage: Bacteria
Description: partial 16S ribosomal RNA
Rfam family: Bacterial small subunit ribosomal RNA
Source: RNAcentral
UACGUAGGGUGCAAGCGUUGUCCGGAAUUAUUGGGCGUAAAGAGCGUGUAGGCGGUUAGGUAGGUCCGUUGUGAAAACUCGAGGCUCAACCUCGAGACGCCGAUGGAAACCAUCUGACUAGAGUCCGGAAGAGGAGAGUGGAAUUCCUGGUGUAGCGGUGAAAUGCGCAGAUAUCAGGAAGAACACCCGUGGCUAAGGCGGCUCUCUAGUACGUGACUGACGCUGAGACGCGAAAGCGUGGGGAGCGAACAGG